Long non-coding RNA from Tribolium castaneum (red flour beetle), 3115 nucleotides. RefSeq lists it as uncharacterized. The record is from RefSeq and is a predicted model, not a curated record. The transcript is spliced from 3 exons. NCBI's taxonomy places the organism in Eukaryota, Metazoa, Arthropoda, Insecta, Coleoptera, Tenebrionidae.
GGCAAGAACGACGGAGCGGUCGGACAGUUUUAAUUUUUCAGCGGCCACAAUUUUGUAGUGGGGAUUGGUUCGUGCUUGUGUUAUUGGUGGGAAGUGGGGAGAAACGCCUCAAUUUUAUUUGUUUCUUAUUUUGGACAAGCGUUUACUCAUUUCUAUUGGCCGAGGCAAAAGUUCAAAAUCCACGACACGCCUCACAAGCCUUGGAGACUUCUGUUUACCUUACAAAGUUUACAGUACAAUAAAAACUUAAAUUAGUAAAAUGUGUUCGAUUUCAAAAUUUCCUCAUGUGGUAUUACCUACUACAACACGUAAGUUUAUGUAGGUCACGUUUAUCACUCGUCCCACCUUCACGAUAAGACGUUUGAAGGAAGUCAUUCUAAUUAAAAUUUAACAUUAACGAUAUUACAGCACAGCGAUAACAGUAACGCCAGUUUGCACAGCUCAAUAUGGUUCACCACCGGUAUGUAAAUCCAUCACAAUUACAUUUUUGUUUUAAAAUUGUUCUUAUUCUAUCGCUCAUUUUGCAUUCUUCAAAGCGGAGUUAUGUAAAUACCUAGCCAUGUAUUCAAGUUUCUGAGAACUGAACGGUCAGAAUAACCAAGUGGGGAGUGAAGGUGCCCCUAAGUCAUAAAUUUUCGGGGUGAAAAUAAUCGAAAAACUAUGACCAAGCAUUUGGAAGUUUUAUUCGAAAAUUUUUAUUUUGUGCCAGUGGACGUCAACCAUAAGGAAUAAUGAUAAUAAUGUGUUAUUAUUAUUAUUCUGAGAUCGCUCCCAACAACUUUUUUUUUUAAUUUUUUUGAUUUUUUUUAAAUGUCAAUUGCCUAAUUGAAGUACACGCUCAUGCGCAUGUCGAGAAUUCGCCAGUUGACUUUUUGACUAAUAACGAGUUUUCGCUCAAUAUUCCUCAUUUAUUUGCUCUCAUUGCUCUAGUUUUGGUGUUUUUCAUCUAGCAGAUCGUCCGACAUUACCUAAGGGGGUAGAAUUCAAAGAAAAACUCAGGAAAAACUGAAGUGAGAUGCGACAAAGACAGACUUAUUAUUUAAUGAAUUAACGUAACGCACGUAAUGAUUGUUGUAAAAUUUGUAAGCAUUUUGAUUGGGCCGUUUGAGGUCGGCCAUUAAAAUUACGGAGAAAACCAAUCAUAAUAGAUUUUUGAAUUCAUUGAAAAAUUUCAGGUUUGGACACGAUUGGUCCAUUUAAGAUCGGCCAUUAAAAUUACGGAGAAGACCAAUCACAAUAGAUUUUUGAAUUCAUUGAAAAAUUUUGGGUUUGGACACGAUUGGUCUAUUUAAGGUCGGCCAUUGAAAUAUAGUGAGAAACCAAUCACCUGGGUUUUUUGGACUCAUUCAACAGUUUAAUAAAAAUGGUUGGUUUAAAUUCGAAAGCAAUCAGUAACUAAACCUUGUUUUUUUAAGCGACCUUCCUUAAUGCACUUCCCUGUCAAAAUUUUGUUUAUUUAUUGUUUUAAUGCCAAAAAAUUUUGUUAAAAAAAUACGUUUGUUUUGCCAAAUAUACUAUUUCUUUCUAAACCCCGAUUGCGGCAAAACUAAGACAGCUAGAAAAAACGCUUUAUUCUAUCGUAAAGAGCACAUCAAAAUCACCGGGUAGGAAGGGUUUUAUUCAUUUUGGAACACUUUUUUGUUUUUCUCGAAAACUAUUGUUCUUUUGUGUAAAAGAUAGAUAAUUAAAAAAGCUUUUCAACGAUAAUAAACUUCAUGGAGUUACCUCUAAUAGUUUCGGAGUUAUUGCUCGAUAAAUGUACCGGAUACCGAAAAUCAACAAAAAUCUCGCAAAAAUUGUAAAAAUCAAACAUCAAGAACUUGAAACAAUUGACUGUUUCUGUACUUUUAAGAACUAGAGAGAGUUGUAAAGCAGAGAAGUCCAUUUUCGAUGUAAAUGUAAAACAAAUGGUAUUUUUUGAAUCAAUUCAUACUUACCUUUUCUGUUUUGCUUCAUAAACUGCUUCUUAAAAUUAGUCUUUUAUUUUUUAAUUCUUCGGGAAAUUAAUACUAUGAUCAAAAAUUCAAUAAAUUAUAUUACAUUUAUUAUCUUAUUGCAAUUGAGUUUUUUGGAUAAAAUCAUCUAAAUAUUUUAUUAUAUCAGGUUUUUACAAAUCAUAAAAUAUUUAGAAAAAAAGAUUAAAAUUACAAUAAAUACUAUACGAAUAAAGAUGCCGCCAUUUUAGCGCCAGCUGCAUAUUAUUUUCCAACAAAAAUUUCGCCAAAAUUUGUUCUUGUUCUAUGUCGUGUGUAGGUAGUCUGUUGAGCUGCCAAAUGGAGACAUCAUUGAAGAAACCGCCCGUUUCAACUUCGACGGCGUUUUGUUAAACGAGAAGGCCCGUCCCACCUUCAACUUCGUCCUUGACGCGAAUUUGAACGCCUUAUUCAACGUUCCUUUGUUCAUAUCACUAGUGUCUAUAUCCAACUGAUGCGACUCGAGAUAAGCCAGAAACUUAUCCUAAAGAAAUUGAAAGAAUUACUUAUGACAAGGUUUUUUGAGUUGCCAAAACUUACCGCAUCAGGUGUGCAGGCGUUAUUGGCCAUUUGUUUCGUCAAGGUUUUCAGGAACCCUGCUUUAUCGGCAUCCUCGUCCGGCAUAGCAAACGAAUACACUCUCUCUUUCAAUUCGUCGUUAUUCCGACAAACGAAACAGAACACUUUCUGGCACUGCUCGGUUUCUUUGAUAUCUAUGACUUUCUUGAUCGUGUUCAAUGGCAGUAACUUGACGUGUUUGUACAACUUCGGCCUUUGCAAACUGUUGACACUGCCGGUCGGGCUUUUGGCGUUAUUAAACGUCUUUGACUUCUUUUUACACACUUCUACCAAAUCGGAAAAGAGGAAGAGGACCAAGGAGUUGCCUUUGCUCGAAAGCCCUUCAGUUGUUGACACUUGGAUCACUUCCGCCUUUGCUAUGAACUUCCGGUGGGAGCACACAAUGUCCGGUGGGCAGUUAUCAAUGUCGUUAAACAUGUUGAAAAGGGCCACUUGGGCUUCAGCUUUUCGCUUGUCUUCGUUUAUCAGGUCCAUGCCUUCCUUCAAACCGUCCAGAGCUCGCUGGAGUUCGGCAUGGUCCGGAUUAGAUUUCGGCGUAUGUUUCAGGAGAUCUAAAAGAAGAA